Molecule: non-coding RNA, 113 nt
Organism: Acanthosepion pharaonis
Lineage: Eukaryota; Metazoa; Mollusca; Cephalopoda; Sepiida; Sepiidae
Source: the annotation of a GenBank genome assembly
UAUGGCCAUAUCAGGUCGAAACAUUAGUUCCCGUAUGAUCACCAAAUUUAAGCAACAUCGAGCCUGGUCAGUACCUAGAUGGGUAACCAAGUGGGGAUACCAGGUGCUGUAUG